GGAGUGUAGUCUACACCAGAUGGGGUCGAAGUGACUGUCCUGCCCACAGUAGAAUGAUCUACAGUGGAUUUGCUUCAGGUUCAUAUUAUUCUCACAGUGGCAGUGGCGCUAAUGUUUUGUGCAUGAAUGCCUCUAUUACAUAUGGUGAUCAUCUUGAUGGUAAUCAAGAGGGAGCUAGACUUUACGGUAUUGAAUAUUCAACAAGUGGGUAUGGACUCAGAGGCCACUUUCAAAGUCUGGACAAUUACGAAGUACCAUGUGUUGUUUGUGAGCGACUAACGGCAG
Long non-coding RNA from Corticium candelabrum, 285 nucleotides. RefSeq lists it as uncharacterized. The transcript is spliced from 3 exons. NCBI's taxonomy places the organism in Eukaryota, Metazoa, Porifera, Homoscleromorpha, Homosclerophorida, Plakinidae. The record is from RefSeq and is a predicted model, not a curated record.